Molecule: ribosomal RNA, 560 nt
Filed under: uncultured bacterium
Lineage: Bacteria
Description: bacterial SSU rRNA
Rfam family: Bacterial small subunit ribosomal RNA
Source: RNAcentral
GCUGGCGGCAGGCUUACACAUGCAAGUCGAGCGCUCGUAGCAAUACGAGAGCGGCAGACGGGAGAGUAACACGUGGGAACGUACCCUUCGGUUCGGAAUAACCCAGGGAAACUUGGGCUAAUACCGGAUACGUCCGUAAGGAGAAAGAUUUAUCGCCGAAGGAUCGGCCCGCGUCCGAUUAGCUAGUUGGUGAGGUAAUGGCUCACCAAGGCGACGAUCGGUAGCUGGUCUGAGAGGAUGAUCAGCCUCACUGGGACUGAGACACGGCCCAGACUCCUACGGGAGGCAGCAGUGGGGAAUAUUGGACAAUGGGCGCAAGCCUGAUCCAGCCAUGCCGCGUGGGUGAUGACGGCCUUAGGGUUGUAAAGCCCUUUCGGCGGGGAAGAUAAUGACGGUACCCGCAGAAGAAGCCCCGGCUAACUUCGUGCCAGCAGCCGCGGUAAUACGAAGGGGGCUAGCGUUGCUCGGAAUCACUGGGCGUAAAGCGCACGUAGGCGGGUUCUUAAGUCAGGGGUGAAAUCCUGGAGCUCAACUCCAGAACUGCCUUUGAUACUGAGGAC